Molecule: ribosomal RNA, 282 nt
Filed under: Triticum aestivum (bread wheat)
Lineage: Eukaryota; Viridiplantae; Streptophyta; Magnoliopsida; Poales; Poaceae
Description: partial small subunit ribosomal RNA
Source: RNAcentral
AUGCAAGUCGAGCAGGCCGUGAGGAGCUUUGAUGCUGAAUGUCAAGUGCUGCGAAUGACUCGGCAUCCGAAGUUGAUACGGAUAUUGAAUACUUGUUCCAACAUGGAUUUCAGAGCAUUGCUGCUUCAGUACAUGCCCAAUGGUAGCUUGGAGGCACACCUGCACACUAAAAAUAAGGAGCCACUAGGGUUCAUCAAGAGAUUAUACAUUAUGCUUGGCGUGUCUGAGCGAUGGAAUACCUGCACCACCAUCACUGUGAAGUUGUUCUACACUGUGACCUGA